UGUCAGUUGUUGACGUUGUUUGGUUGUUGUGUGGUCGUGGCUUGAUUUGUUUAAAGAGAAACAUCUUAUAUGGGACCCGCUUGUUCUGGCCGUAAACGUAAGCCAACCGAAAUCAAACCAAGGCAAACUCGUUUUAUGGCCAACAUUAGCCAGCGGAAUCCAGAUACAACAUUUAAUUGCACGCCACAACAGUUUUCUGGCUGAUUUCUUCCUUUAAUUUCAAUUCCACACACAGCCCUCUGUUCAUCGCUCUGGGCCCGUAAAUCGCUGGCCAUUAAGACAUUUUGAUGACUUUUCGCCUCUGGAAACUUGAUCUGCGUCCCCCUCACAUACCACACCAUUAAAAAUGUGUUUUUUUUGGCAACGUCCGCCAAACCAAUCAAAACAAAUUAACAAACAUUUUCAAUAAAUAUUCAUGACGGAAUUCCGUCAAAUAAA
Non-coding RNA from Drosophila bipectinata, 438 nucleotides. The record is from RefSeq and is a predicted model, not a curated record. NCBI's taxonomy places the organism in Eukaryota, Metazoa, Arthropoda, Insecta, Diptera, Drosophilidae.